RNAcentral lists this ribosomal RNA (549 nucleotides) under uncultured bacterium. RNAcentral describes it as "bacterial SSU rRNA". It matches the Rfam family "Bacterial small subunit ribosomal RNA", at positions 777 to 1321 of the family's 1533-position model. The record is from RNAcentral.
AAUAGAUACCCUGGUAGUCCACGCUGUAAACGUUGGGCGCUAGGUGUGGGGGGGCCUCUCCGGUUCUCUGUGCCGCAGCUAACGCAUUAAGCGCCCCGCCUGGGGAGUACGGCCGCAAGGCUAAAACUCAAAGGAAUUGACGGGGGGCCCGCACAAGCGGCGGAGCAUGCGGAUUAAUUCGAUGCAACGCGAAGAACCUUACCUGGGUUUGACAUGGCCGCAAAACCGGCAGAGAUGUCGGGUCCUUCGGGGGCGGUCACAGGUGGUGCAUGGCUGUCGUCAGCUCGUGUCGUGAGAUGUUGGGUUAAGUCCCGCAACGAGCGCAACCCUCGUUCGAUGUUGCCAGCGGUUCGGCCGGGGUACUCAUCGAAGACUGCCGGGGUCAACUCGGAGGAAGGUGGGGAUGACGUCAAGUCAUCAUGCCCCUUAUGUCCAGGGUCUUCACGCAUGCUACAAUGGCCGGUACAAUGGGCUGCGAUACCGUGAGGUGGAGCGAAUCCCGAAAAAGCCGGUCUCAGUUCGGAUCGGGGUCUGCAACGUCGACCCCGU